CCCGACUUAAUACUUCCUCAAUGACUGAUAACCUAAAAGAGGCAUUAGCUGAGUUGUAUGUGAUCAACACAUAGUAUGAGAAAGCCCUUACGUUAUAUGCUGAUUUGAUGAAGCCUGAGAUAUUCAGCUUCAUUGAAAAACAUGGUUUACAUGAGGCCAUUCAUGAUAAGGU
This is a long non-coding RNA of Magnolia sinica, 172 nucleotides long. RefSeq lists it as uncharacterized. The record is from RefSeq and is a predicted model, not a curated record. Lineage: Eukaryota; Viridiplantae; Streptophyta; Magnoliopsida; Magnoliales; Magnoliaceae. The transcript is spliced from 3 exons.